CAGUCGUACCUGCGGGUAAUCAGCCUUUCGGGUAUGAUUCUGUGGAGUGUGGGGAGCUAAACACCCUCAUGCCUGCAUAUUCCGUGCUCUUGGGUGUACUUGCCUGUGUGGUUAGUUAACAUCAA
RNAcentral lists this ribosomal RNA (125 nucleotides) under Rhizophagus irregularis. The record is from RNAcentral. Lineage: Eukaryota; Fungi; Glomeromycota; Glomeromycetes; Glomerales; Glomeraceae.